Molecule: ribosomal RNA, 569 nt
Filed under: uncultured bacterium
Lineage: Bacteria
Description: partial 16S ribosomal RNA
Rfam family: Bacterial small subunit ribosomal RNA
Source: RNAcentral
UGGGGAAUAUUGGCACAAUGGGCGAAAGCCUGAUGCAGCAACGCCGCGUGCGGGAUGACGGCCUUCGGGUUGUAAACCGCUUUCAGCAGGGACGAAGGUUUUUCUGACGGUACCUGCAGAAGAAGCACCGGCUAACUACGUGCCAGCAGCCGCGGUGAUACGUAUGGGUGCGAGCGUUGUCCGGAAUUAUUGGGCGUAAAGAGCUUGUAGGCGGUCCGUUGCGUCGGAAGUGAAAACUCAGGGCUUAACCCUGAGCCUGCUUUCGAUACGGGCGGACUUGAGGGAUGUAGGGGAGAACGGAAUUCCUGGUGGAGCGGUGGAAUGCGCAGAUAUCAGGAGGAACACCAGUGGCGAAGGCGGUCCUCUGGACAUUUCCUGACGCUGAGAAGCGAAAGCGUGGGGAGCAAACAGGCUUAGAUACCCUGGUAGUCCACGCCGUAAACGGUGGGCACUAGGUGUGGGACCCAUUCCACGGGUUCCGUGCCGUAGCUAACGCAUUAAGUGCCCCGCCUGGGGAGUACGGCCGCAAGGCUAAAACCUCAAAGGAAUUGACGGGGUCAUAGCUGUUU